This 363-nucleotide long non-coding RNA is filed under the name Ananas comosus (pineapple). RNAcentral's name for it is "long non-coding RNA (ACOM_LNC019719)". Lineage: Eukaryota; Viridiplantae; Streptophyta; Magnoliopsida; Poales; Bromeliaceae. The record is from RNAcentral.
CCUAAUACCAUCUUAUCUGUCACGCCCCGUGUCCCGCCUAUUUGGUCGGGUUCGGGCACGCCAACAGACCGCCGAACGGACAGGGUUUCCUCUAUACCGCUGACAGAGUCUCCCCUGUACGUCCAAGGCGUCGCAAUCAAUACAAUGCACGAAGUUCCAACCAAAAACACAUUUCAAUCAAAGAUUGCAUAAGAAAGUAUUAAAAAUAUAAAACAACUAAAUUAUUACAACAUUCAUCUUUAGGUGCAUUUUACAUCACAAUUACUAUUAUAUUUUUCCAACUUCCGAAUACAAUCCAAGUUACAAUAAUUUAUUACAAGUUUAAUCCAUUCAUCUUGUUCUUUUCAUUUUCCUCUACCCCUA